This 476-nucleotide ribosomal RNA is filed under the name uncultured bacterium. RNAcentral describes it as "partial 16S ribosomal RNA". It matches the Rfam family "Bacterial small subunit ribosomal RNA", at positions 30 to 507 of the family's 1533-position model. The record is from RNAcentral.
UGAACGCUGGCGGCGUGCUUACCACAUGCACGUCGAACGAGAAGUGGAGACGGAAACCUUCGGGCGGAAGACUUUAUUUCGAGUGGCGGACGGGUGAGUAACGCGUGGGUAACCUGCCUCAUACAGGGGGAUAACAGUUGGAAACGACUGUUAAUACCGCAUAAGACCACAGCACCGCAUGGUGCGGGGGUAAAAACUCCGGUGGUAUGAGAUGGACCCGCGUUCGAUUAGCCAGUUGGCGGGGUAACGGCCCACCAAAGCGACGAUCGAUAGCCGAUCUGAGAGGAUGACCGGCCACAUUGGGACUGAGACACGGCCCAAACUCCUACGGGAGGCAGCAGUGGGGAAUAUUGCACAAUGGGGGAAACCCUGAUGCAGCGACGCCGCGUGAGUGAAGAAGUAUUUCGGUAUGUAAAGCUCUAUCAGCAGGGAAGAAAAUGACGGUACCUGAGUAAGAAGCCCCGGCUAACUACGUG